This is a long non-coding RNA of Triticum aestivum (bread wheat), 442 nucleotides long. RefSeq lists it as uncharacterized. The record is from RefSeq and is a predicted model, not a curated record. The transcript is spliced from 3 exons. NCBI's taxonomy places the organism in Eukaryota, Viridiplantae, Streptophyta, Magnoliopsida, Poales, Poaceae.
AUCGAAGAAAAUGAAACGCACGUGGUGGUCAUUAUAGCGGUUCCUUCAGAUCCUAGAAAACGUCCGAAAAAACUGGCUACGGAACUACCGAGCAAAGGCAAAAAGACAAUAAGUAGAUACAUAAGAUCGAGUCUCUUAAAAAAAAUCAGACAAUGUUCAAGCGGCCUGUCAUUGAGACAAAAACGUGUUAAGCAUAUAAGCACUUUCGACUUGAUUUGUAGUGGUCAGUUACGCAAGACGGGAAGAGAGUUUCCUUCUUCAGAGUCCUUUUAUCCCAAUAUUAAGGAUAAUGUGUGGGCCUUUACUGAAAGAAGAUGGUUGAUCCCCUUGCCGACUCAUUCCAUCCUCCCCCUGGUGGGUCGUCCUCUUAUUCACUCUCGCGAGCAAAGAAGAAGAGAGACAGCAUUCAAGCCAGCAAUGGACUGAGAUCGGAAGAGCACAC